RNAcentral lists this ribosomal RNA (253 nucleotides) under uncultured bacterium. RNAcentral describes it as "partial 16S ribosomal RNA". It matches the Rfam family "Bacterial small subunit ribosomal RNA", at positions 524 to 776 of the family's 1533-position model. The record is from RNAcentral.
UACGUAGGGUGCGAGCGUUGUCCGGAAUUACUGGGCGUAAAGAGCUCGUAGGUGGUUUGUCGCGUUGUUCGUGAAAACUCACAACUCAAUUGUGGGCGUGCGGGCGAUACGGGCAGACUGGAGUACUGCAGCGGAGACUGGAAUUCCUGGUGUAGCGGUGGAAUGCGCAGAUAUCAGGAGGAACACCGGUGGCGAAGGCGGGUCUCUGGGCAGUAACUGACGCUGAGGAGCGAAAGCGUGGGGAGCGAACAGG